This 372-nucleotide ribosomal RNA is filed under the name uncultured bacterium. RNAcentral describes it as "bacterial SSU rRNA". It matches the Rfam family "Bacterial small subunit ribosomal RNA", at positions 525 to 896 of the family's 1533-position model. The record is from RNAcentral.
ACAGAGGUCCCAAGCGUUGUUCGGAUUUACUGGGCGUAAAGGGUGCGUAGGUGGCGGGGUAAGUCUGGUGUGAAAGCUCCGAGCUCAACUCGGAAAAGCAUUGGAAACUAUCCCGCUGGAGGGUCGGAGGGGAGACUGGAAUUCUCGGUGUAGCAGUGAAAUGCGUAGAUAUCGAGAGGAACACCAGUGGCGAAGGCGAGUCUCUGGACGACUCCUGACACUGAGGCACGAAAGCUAGGGGAGCAAACAGGAUUAGAUACCCUGGUAGUCCUAGCUGUAAACGGUGCACAUUUGCUGUAAGAGGAAUCGACCCCUUUUGUGGCGAAGCUAACGCGUUAAAUGUGCCGCCUGGGGAGUACGGUCGCAAGAUUA